Molecule: small nuclear RNA, 110 nt
Filed under: Notamacropus eugenii (tammar wallaby)
Lineage: Eukaryota; Metazoa; Chordata; Mammalia; Diprotodontia; Macropodidae
Source: RNAcentral
CAACUAAAAAACUACUGAAUUGAAGAUAUAAAAUUGGAAUGAUACAAAGAAGAUUAGCUUGGACCAUGAGCAAAGAUGAAAUGAAAAUUUGUGAAGAACAUGUGUUUUUU